Molecule: small RNA, 1654 nt
Filed under: Pongo abelii (Sumatran orangutan)
Lineage: Eukaryota; Metazoa; Chordata; Mammalia; Primates; Hominidae
Description: retained intron
Source: RNAcentral
GAGUAGAAGUGUGAGAGAGCCCAGCAGGACUCAGAGGGGAGAGUUGGAGGAAAAAAAAAGGCAGAAAAGGGAAAGAAAGAGGAAGAGAGAGAGAGAGUGAGAGGAGCCGCUGAGCCCACCCCGAUGGCCGCGGACGAAGUUGCCGGAGGGGCGCGCAAAGCCACGAAAAGCAAACUUUUUGAGUUUCUGGUCCAUGGGGUGCGCCCCGGGAUGCCGUCUGGAGCCCGGAUGCCCCACCAGGGGGCGCCCAUGGGCCCCCCGGGCUCCCCGUACAUGGGCAGCCCCGCCGUGCGACCCGGCCUGGCCCCCGCGGGCAUGGAGCCCGCCCGCAAGCGAGCAGCGCCCCCGCCCGGGCAGAGCCAGACACAGAGCCAGGGCCAGCCGGUGCCCACCGCCCCCGCGCGGAGCCGCAGUGCCAAGAGGAGGAAGAUGGCUGACAAAAUCCUCCCUCAAAGGAUUCGGGAGCUGGUCCCCGAGUCCCAGGCUUACAUGGACCUCUUGGCGUUUGAGAGGAAACUGGAUCAAACCAUCAUGCGGAAGCGGGUGGACAUCCAGGAGGCUUUGAAGAGGCCCAUGAAGCAAAAGCGGAAGCUGCGACUCUAUAUCUCCAACACUUUUAACCCUGCGAAGCCUGAUGCUGAGGAUUCCGAUGGCAGCAUUGCUUCCUGGGAGCUACGGGUGGAGGGGAAGCUCCUGGAUGAUCCCAGCAAACAGAAGCGGAAGUUCUCUUCUUUCUUCAAGAGUUUGGUCAUCGAGCUGGACAAAGAUCUUUAUGGCCCUGACAACCACCUCGUUGAGUGGCAUCGGACACCCACGACCCAAGAGACGGAUGGCUUCCAGGUGAAACGGCCUGGGGACCUGAGUGUGCGCUGCACGCUGCUCCUCAUGCUGGACUACCAGCCUCCCCAGUUCAAACUGGAUCCCCGCCUAGCCCGGCUGCUGGGGUUGCACACACAGAGCCGCUCAGCCAUCGUCCAGGCCCUGUGGCAGUAUGUGAAGACCAACAGACUGCAGGACUCCCAUGACAAGGAAUAUAUCAAUGGGGACAAGUAUUUCCAGCAGGUAACCUCUCUCCUGAACCCUGGGAUCUGGGGAGCAGGCAGAAUUCUCCAGCAGGGGAAGUACCUCUACCAAGGUAACUACCACCCCUCCCUUCUAGAUCCCUGAGUAGCAGAAGCAGUACACAGUCAUGGUCUUGGAGCCAAGAGACCGACCAGGAUUCUAGUUCAGGCCCUACUAUGGAUUAGCUCUGUGCUGCAGCCAAUCCCUGUUAGCCCCCCCAAGUUAGGAAGACCUGGAAACCCUACAAAGCCAACCGCUUUCUGGAAUGUAAUAUUCUUGGCACUUGGAGUUAGGAUCCCCAGGUUCUAGUCCUGAGUCUGGACUCUGGGUAAGUGACUCAGCGAUUCUGAACCUUGUUUCCUUAUCUUUGAAGUGGAGUGACAAUACCUGUCCUAUCUACUCUCCUGGGCAGUUAGGAAAAUCAAAUUGCUGCAAAAGUGAUCGAGCAAAAUUCCACCAAAACAGAGAAUAUUCUUAUUAAUGCAUUUAAAAAUAAAUACGGCAGAUAAACCUGAGGAGUAAAAAUAGCAGUUGAUAUUUAUUGGGCACUUACCAUGUGCCAGGCACUGUCCCAAGCACUUUAUGUAUAUUA